This 71-nucleotide transfer RNA is filed under the name Cyrtodactylus erythrops. Its description in RNAcentral is "tRNA-Trp". Lineage: Eukaryota; Metazoa; Chordata; Lepidosauria; Squamata; Gekkonidae. The record is from RNAcentral.
AGAAGUUUAGGUUAAACAAACCAAGAGCCUUCAAAGCCCUAAACAGGAGCACCCACCCCCCCUAACUUCUG